UAACGAAUAUUGGGCAAUGGGCGCAAGCCUGACCCAGCAACGCCGCGUGAGGGAAGAAGGCCUUCGGGUUGUAAACCUCUGUCCUUGGGGACGAAAAAAAUGACGGUACCCAAGGAGGAAGCUCCGGCUAACUACGUGCCAGCAGCCGCGGUAAUACGUAGGGAGCGAGCGUUGUCCGGAAUUACUGGGCGUAAAGGGUGCGUAGGUGGCUUGGCAAGUCAGAUGUGAAAUCCCCGGGCUUAACUCGGGUGCUGCAUUUGAAACUGCUGAGCUUGAGUGCAGGAGAGGAAAGCGGAAUUCCUAGUGUAGCGGUGAAAUGCGUAGAUAUUAGGAGGAACACCAGUGGCGAAGGCGGCUUUCUGGACUGUUACUGACACUGAGGCACGAAAGCGUGGGGAGCAAACA
This 405-nucleotide ribosomal RNA is filed under the name uncultured prokaryote. Its description in RNAcentral is "bacterial SSU rRNA". It matches the Rfam family "Bacterial small subunit ribosomal RNA", at positions 355 to 774 of the family's 1533-position model. The record is from RNAcentral.